UUCCUGCAAUAUUUCUUUUCUGGCUUUUUUUUUGUUUUCCUGACUGUUUGGUAUAAUGCUCAAAAUCCAUGUCCUUUUUUUUUUAUCCAAAUCCUGUUAAUUUUCUUCUUCCUCAGUUUCUUCAUCUGUUUUAUCUUGUCCAGCUUGCAAGCAGAAAGGAGUAAGAGGAGCAGGAAAAAGUUUAAGGGGCAAAGCGAAAAGGAGUGCAUCCACUUUAAUUCUCCAUUCAGGUUUUAUACAGGACAGCAGUACGAGGAAACAGAAACUUCAGACCAGGAUGCCCUCACUGUGGAUGGGAUACCACUGUGAGUGCAAGGGUUGUGAAUUGUUUCCUUUGGGAUUAACACUCCUGUGCCAGUCCCCCAGGCUGUCAUUCACUUCCUGGGAUUAAUACUGUCCAACCUUCUUCAGCACUGAUAACUGCUCCAUCCUUUGCCACCUGCUCCUUCAGUUGUUGGUAAGGUUAAUUCAGUUAUACACCCAAGCCAGUCUACAGAGGGAAAUCUUUCCCGGAAAAAGGAGCUGCAAGAGGUGCAAAAUCUCCUGAAACACUGAUAUAGGCCACCUCUUGCAGGCAAAGACUGUCAUUUAAAUCAAACAAAAAAAAAAUCUGAAAGUGUUUUCAAAGAAAAUAAUUAAGUUUUAGUUUAGAGAGUCAAGUUAAGAGCUGAGAAAACCUGUGGCAGCCUCAUGUUUAAUUUCCGCUGCUUUUAAAAAAUGUGGUUGACCGAAUAUUUC
RNAcentral lists this long non-coding RNA (738 nucleotides) under Parus major (Great Tit). RNAcentral describes it as "lncRNA (ENSPMJG00000007668.1)". The record is from RNAcentral. Lineage: Eukaryota; Metazoa; Chordata; Aves; Passeriformes; Paridae.